Molecule: ribosomal RNA, 253 nt
Filed under: uncultured bacterium
Lineage: Bacteria
Description: partial 16S ribosomal RNA
Rfam family: Bacterial small subunit ribosomal RNA
Source: RNAcentral
UACGUAGGGUGCGAGCGUUAAUCGGAAUUACUGGGCGUAAAGCGUGCGCAGGCGGUUGUGUAAGACAGAUGUGAAAUCCCCAGGCUUAACCUGGGAACUGCAUUCGAGACUGCAUUGCUAGAGUAUGGGAGAGGGAAGUGGAAUUUCCGGUGUAGCGGCGAAAUGCGUAGAUAUCGGAAGGAACAUCAGUGGCGAAAGCGACUUCCUGGACCAAUACUGACGCUCAUGUGCGAAAGCGUGGGGAGCAAACAGG